GCAUCUGAAUUUCUUUCUAAGGAGACUGUAACGUAUUACGAAAGGUGAGAUCCAAGUGUCCUUUCUGUACACAUACUGUGAAGAGGAAAUCUGACUUGAAGCGACAUCUACGAUCACAUACAGGAGAGAGACCAUAUUAUUACAAUUCCUGUGACAAGCGAGUCACACGACUUGAGCAUCUCCGCAACCACCACCUGAGUGUCCACAGAUCUAGAGACAUCUUUACUUGCAAAGUUUGCAAGAAGCCAUUCACUGGCAUUGCAACCAAAACUGCACAAGAUGGUGCCAAAUCUUGUGCAUUAACUGCAUAGAUCCGUCGAAUUCUGAUGAGCCUAUCGACUUAGAUUCACAUACAGACCAUGAUACAGAAUUUCAGGAAAGUGACAAAGAGUCUGGCUGGAUUUCUAGAGAGCCUGAUGGCGAGACUGAGUUCCUGAGUUCUGGGGGAGAAGAUCCAGAAAGCUGCCAAGUUCAUGCAGCACGAGAAAUCCUGGCUGACGAAGAUGAACAAGUCUUAAGUUUAUGAUACCGUUGACAAGAGUGACUGAGGAACAUUCUGUGCUGAGUCAUUUCUAUUAAAGCAAGAAAAGUAUAAGAGUUACCCGAGGGGUUCAAAAUGUAAGUUGUAUCAAUUUGAAAUUUAUUUGCCCCUUAAAAUGUUAAUGAUAACAAUUGUAUUAGUUGUUUCUCGUUUCUGUUCAAUAGGAAAGGUGGGAUGGUAAUUGUUCAGAUUAUUGACAUUCUAUUGUAUAGCUUUGUUAAAGUGUUCCAUGUUGGAUAUUGUAUGUUUUUAAAACUAAAAGAGACUAAAGCCUAUAGCGAAGAACCUCUUCGGCACGUUUGUUAAAGAGAAAAUGGAUGCACAGAAUUGGAGUUAAAUUAAUAUCUUUGUUUCAGUCAUGGUAUAAUGUUAAAAUGUAUUUAUGUUCAAAUAUUCACCAUCAUGUUGCUCUGGUGGAGAGCCUGUGUGGGCAUAUUGGAUCAAUGAGCUUCUGUACUGUAUCCAUAUCAACCUACUUUUAUAUACAACAUUUUUUUUGCUCAAAAUGGUCUUCAAGAUGUAGGCUUACAAACCAUUGAAUCAGACAUGAACAAAAA
This is a long non-coding RNA of Amblyraja radiata (thorny skate), 1098 nucleotides long. RefSeq lists it as uncharacterized. Lineage: Eukaryota; Metazoa; Chordata; Chondrichthyes; Rajiformes; Rajidae. The transcript has 2 exons. The record is from RefSeq and is a predicted model, not a curated record.